CAGUAGCCACGGGAAUACGUAGGGUGCAAGCGUUAAUCGGAAUUACUGGGCGUAAAGCGUGCGCAGGCGGUUUUGUAAGACAGAGGUGAAAUCCCCGGGCUCAACCUGGGAACUGCCUUUGUGACUGCAAGGCUGGAGUGCGGCAGAGGGGGAUGGAAUUCCGCGUGUAGCAGUGAAAUGCAUAGAUAUGCGGAGGAACACCGAUGGCGAAGGCAAUCCCCUGGGCCUGCACUGACGCUCAUGCACGAAAGCGUGGGGAGCAAACAGGAUUAGAUACCCGCGUAGUCCCUGUCUCUUAUAC
Molecule: ribosomal RNA, 301 nt
Filed under: uncultured bacterium
Lineage: Bacteria
Description: partial 16S ribosomal RNA
Rfam family: Bacterial small subunit ribosomal RNA
Source: RNAcentral